UCUCCGUUGGUGAACCAGCGGAGGGAUCAUUACUGGAAUCGCAAGAUCCCACAACCCUGUGAACCUACCGAAACGUUGCCUCGGCGGGUGCCCGGCCUCUGCGCCGGGCGCUGCGCCCGCCGGCGGCCCCCUACUCUGCCUCUGCAGCGUGGCAUCUCAGAGUCCCAGAAAACAAGUCAAAACUUUCAGCAACGGAUCUCUUGGCUCUA
Molecule: unclassified non-coding RNA, 209 nt
Filed under: plant metagenome
Description: partial contains small subunit ribosomal RNA, internal transcribed spacer 1, and 5.8S ribosomal RNA
Source: RNAcentral